GGGCCAGUAGCUCAAUUGGUUAGAGCAUCAAGCUUAUACCUUGACGGUUGAUGGUUCGAGUCCAUCCUGGCCCA
Candidatus Gottesmanbacteria bacterium is the source of this 74-nucleotide non-coding RNA. The record is from Rfam. NCBI's taxonomy places the organism in Bacteria, Candidatus Gottesmaniibacteriota.